GGGGUAAAGGCCUACCAAGGCAACGAUCAGUAGCUGGUCUGAGAGGACGACCAGCCACACUGGAACUGAGACACGGUCCAGACUCCUACGGGAGGCAGCAGUGGGGAAUUUUGGACAAUGGGGGCAACCCUGAUCCAGCAAUGCCGCGUGUGUGAAGAAGGCCUUCGGGUUGUAAAGCACUUUUGUCAGGAACGAAACGGGAUUGGCUAAUAUCUGAUCCUAAUGACGGUACCUGAAGAAUAAGCACCGGCUAACUACGUGCCAGCAGCCGCGGUAAUACGUAGGGUGCAAGCGUUAAUCGGAAUUACUGGGCGUAAAGCGUGCGCAGGCGGUUAUGUAAGUCUGUCGUGAAAUCCCCGGGCUCAACCUGGGAAUUGCGAUGGAGACUGCAUGGCUAGAAUCUGGCAGAGGGGGGUAGAAUUCCACGUGUAGCAGUGAAAUGCGUAGAGAUGUGGAGGAACACCGAUGGCGAAGGCAGCCCCCUGGGCUAAGAUUGACGCUCAUGCACGAAAGCGUGGGGAGCAAACAGGAUUAGAUACCCUGGUAGUCCACGCCCUAAACGAUGUCUACUAGUUGUCGGGACUUGAUUGUCUUGGUAACGCAGCUAACGCGUGAAGUAGACCGCCUGGGGAGUACGGUCGCAAGAUUAAAACUCAAAGGAAUUGACGGGGACCCGCACAAGCGGUGGAUGAUGUGGAUUAAUUCGAUGCAACGCGAAAAACCUUACCUACCCUUGACAUGUCAGAAAUCCCUGAGAGAUUGGGGAGUGCUUGAAAGAGAAUCUGAACACAGGUGCUGCAUGGCUGUCGUCAGCUCGUGUCGUGAGAUGUUGGGUUAAGUCCCGCAACGAGCGCAACCCUUGUCAUUAGUUGCUACGCAAGAGCACUCUAAUGAGACUGCCGGUGACAAACCGGAGGAAGGUGGGGAUGACGUCAAGUCCUCAUGGCCCUUAUGGGUAGGGCUUCACACGUCAUACAAUGGUACAUACAGAGGGCCGCCAACCCGCGAGGGGGAGCUAAUCCCAGAAAGUGUAUCGUAGUCCGGAUUGUAGUCUGCAACUCGACUACAUGAAGUUGGAAUCGCUAGUAAUCGCGGAUCAGCAUGUCGCGGUGAAUACGUUCCCGGGUCUUGUACACACCGCCCGUCACACCAUGGGAGCGGGUUUUACCAGAAGUAGGUAGCUUAACCGCAAGGAGGGCGCUUACCACGGUAGGAUUCGUGACUGGGGUGAAGUCGGAACAAGGUA
RNAcentral lists this ribosomal RNA (1246 nucleotides) under metagenome. Its description in RNAcentral is "bacterial SSU rRNA". It matches the Rfam family "Bacterial small subunit ribosomal RNA", at positions 254 to 1498 of the family's 1533-position model. The record is from RNAcentral.